RNAcentral lists this unclassified non-coding RNA (373 nucleotides) under Sassafras tzumu. RNAcentral describes it as "partial external transcribed spacer". The record is from RNAcentral. Lineage: Eukaryota; Viridiplantae; Streptophyta; Magnoliopsida; Laurales; Lauraceae.
UCCUCUUCCUCGGAUCGACGAGCUUUUCGACCAGCUUCAGGGUGCUCAGUUCUUCUCGAAGAUAGAUUUGAGAUCGGGUUAUCAUCAGCUGCGAGUCAGAGAGCAGGAUGUGCAGAAGACAGCGUUCCGGACACGCUAUGGCCACUAUGAGUUCCUUGUGAUGCCGUUCGGAUUGACGAAUGCCCCAGCAGUGUUCAUGGCCUUGAUGAACAAGAUCUUCGCUCCGUACCUCGACAGCUUCACCGUGGUCUUCAUCGACGAUGUUCUAGUCUACUCGAAGUCCAGAGAGGAGCAUGAGCACCAUUUGAGGACGUCUCUCCAGUUGCUACGCGACAACCAGUUGUACGCGAAGCUCAGCAAGUGCGAGUUCUGG